This 222-nucleotide unclassified non-coding RNA is filed under the name uncultured Halomonadaceae bacterium. Its description in RNAcentral is "contains 16S-23S intergenic spacer region". Lineage: Bacteria; Pseudomonadati; Pseudomonadota; Gammaproteobacteria; Oceanospirillales; Halomonadaceae. The record is from RNAcentral.
UCCGGUUUGUCACCGGCAGUCUCCCUAGAGUUCCCGACCGAAUCGCUGGCAAAUAGGGACAAGGGUUGCGCUCGUUACGGGACUUAACCCAACAUUUCACAACACGAGCUGACGACAGCCACGCAGCACCUGUCACUCGGUUCCCGAAGGCACUCCGCCGUCUCCGGCAGAUUCCGAGGAUGUCAAGGGUAGGUAAGGUGGGUGACGUACUGGAAGCAAGCU